AGGGCACCACCAGGAGUGGAGCCUGCGGCUUAAUUUGACUCAACACGGGAAAACUCACCCGGCCCGGACACCGUAAGGAUUGACAGACUGAUAGCUCUUUCUUAAUUCGGUGGGUGGUGGUGCAUGGCCGUUCUUAGUUGGUGGAGCGAUUUGUCUGGUUAAUUCCGAUAACGAACGAGACUCUGGCCCAUUAAAUAGUAGAGUCGUCUCGUGUAGCGAUUCUUACUUCUUAGAGGGACAAGCGGCGUCUAGCCGCAUGAAAUAGAGCAAUAACAGGUCUGUGAUGCCCUUAGAUGUCCGGGGCUGCACGCGCGCUACACUGAAAGAAUCAGCGUGCGUCGAGAACCUAGUCCGGAAGGACCGGGUAACCCCAGUAAAUUCUUUCGUGCUUGGGAUAGGGAAUUGAAAUUAUUUCCCUUAAACGAGGAAUUCCCAGUAAAUGCGGGUCAUAAGCUCGCGUCGAUUACGUCCCUGCCCUUUGUACACACCGCCCGUCGCUACUACCGAUUGGAUGACUCA
This 519-nucleotide ribosomal RNA is filed under the name uncultured eukaryote. RNAcentral describes it as "bacterial SSU rRNA". It matches the Rfam family "Eukaryotic small subunit ribosomal RNA", at positions 1161 to 1700 of the family's 1831-position model. The record is from RNAcentral.